RNAcentral lists this transfer RNA (57 nucleotides) under Loxodonta africana (African savanna elephant). It matches the Rfam family "tRNA", at positions 8 to 63 of the family's 71-position model. Rfam says of the family: Transfer RNA (tRNA) molecules are approximately 80 nucleotides in length. Their secondary structure includes four short double-helical elements and three loops (D, anti-codon, and T loops). Further hydrogen bonds mediate the characteristic L-shaped molecular structure. tRNAs have two regions of fundamental functional importance: the anti-codon, which is responsible for specific mRNA codon recognition, and the 3' end, to which the tRNAs corresponding amino acid is attached (by aminoacyl-tRNA synthetases). tRNAs cope with the degeneracy of the genetic code in two manners: having more than one tRNA (with a specific anti-codon) for a particular amino acid; and 'wobble' base-pairing, i.e. permitting non-standard base-pairing at the 3rd anti-codon position. Lineage: Eukaryota; Metazoa; Chordata; Mammalia; Proboscidea; Elephantidae. The record is from Rfam by way of RNAcentral.
UGGCUUAGUGGUUAAGCACUUGGCUGUUAACCAAAGAGUCAGUGGUUCGAACCCACC